GACGGAGGGUGCUAGCGUUGUUCGGAUUUACUGGGCGUAAAGGGCGCGUAGGCGGCCUGGUCAGUCGGGUGUGAAAGCCCGGGGCUCAACCCCGGAACGGCACCCGAGACGGCAGGCGUGGAGACCGGGAGAGGAGGGUGGAAUAGCCAGUGUAGAGGUGAAAUUCGUAGAUAUUGGCUGGAACACCGGUGGCGAAAGCGGCUCUCUGGCCCGGUUCUGACGCUGAGGCGCGAAAGCGUGGGGAGCAAACAGGG
Molecule: ribosomal RNA, 254 nt
Filed under: uncultured bacterium
Lineage: Bacteria
Description: partial 16S ribosomal RNA
Rfam family: Bacterial small subunit ribosomal RNA
Source: RNAcentral